GACCCACUGGACUUCUUCGGGGAUUCAUCCAGGCUGAUCACCUCCACACCGCCACCACCACUGCGCCGCGUCGGCCGAGACCCAACCUUGGUGAUGGUGAUCUCUUUGCUCAUGGUGGGCUGCAAUGCAUGGACAGGCAAGCAAUGAGCACCAAGCCCUUCAGUCCCCGGCACCAGACACCCACAA
This is a long non-coding RNA of Portunus trituberculatus (swimming crab), 186 nucleotides long. RefSeq lists it as uncharacterized. The transcript has 2 exons. The record is from RefSeq and is a predicted model, not a curated record. Lineage: Eukaryota; Metazoa; Arthropoda; Malacostraca; Decapoda; Portunidae.